CGUCGCUCGUCAGAGUUUGAUCCUGGCUCAGGAUGAACGCUAGCUACAGGCUUAACACAUGCAAGUCGAGGGGCAGCAUGGGCUUAGCUUGCUAAGCCCGAUGGCGACCGGCGCACGGGUGAGUAACACGUGAGUAACCUGCCUUUCACAAAGGGAUAGCCUCGGGAAACCGGGAUUAAUACCUUAUGACACUUAGAUAUCGCAUGAUAAUUAAGUUAAAGAAUUUCGGUGAAAGAUGGUCUCGCGUCUGAUUAGCUAGUUGGUAAGGUAACGGCUUACCAAGGCGACGAUCAGUAGCCGGAUUGAGAGGUUGAACGGCCACACUGGAACUGAGACACGGUCCAG
Molecule: ribosomal RNA, 345 nt
Filed under: uncultured bacterium
Lineage: Bacteria
Description: bacterial SSU rRNA
Rfam family: Bacterial small subunit ribosomal RNA
Source: RNAcentral